UGCACACCUGUAAUCCCAGCUAUUCGGCUGAGGCACGAGAAUCAUUUGAACCCAGGACACGGAGAUUGCAGUGAGCCAAGAUCACACCACUGCACUCCAGCCUGGGCAACAGAACGAGAUUCUGUCUUAAAUGAAUGAGUGAAUGAAUGAAGUGAAUUACAAAAAAUUUUAAAAUACAAACCAAAUGUUUUGUUAAAUUCAACAGACAUAAUUAUGUGUCAGCUGCAUGCAGUGGCUCAUGCCUGUAAUCCCAACACUUUGGGAGGAAUUACAGGGACCAGGAGUUUGAGACUAGCUUGGCCAACAUAGUGAAACCCCAUCUCUACCAAAAAAUAUAAAAAUUAGCCAAGUAUGGUGGCAUAUGCCUAUAUUCUAGCUACUCAGGAGGCUGAGAUGGGAGAGUCGCUUAAACCCAGGAGGUGGAGGUUGAAAUGAGCUGAGAUCAUGCCACUGCACUCCAGCCCAGGUGACAGAGGGAGACUCUCUCAAAGAAAAAGGAAAAAAAAUUACUGUGUCUAAUUUCUAUAAAAUUUUUUUUUUUACUUAUUCUCAAUUUCUGUACUUGUGGAUCAGUAGCAAACUUCAUGGACUGGCAUCAGUAUGAAUGACAUUUGAGUAGCACUGUUUGGUGUGCAGCAUACUAGAGUAGUGAGAGAAGGAAACAUCUGUGGACAUUGUAUCAACUGGGAGGCCACCGAACAUUUUGUCAUGUUUGUUGAAUAACUUAUGCAGCCUCAGGCAGCCUGUCAGGGCAGUGGUGUGGCAAAGCCAUAAUAUUUGUAUGGGGCUCAUUCUACUGAGAGGCAUAUCUGCUGUUCUGAUAGUGUAGUCUCCUCCAUUUUUCCUCCAGCACUCUGCUCUUUGGGAGGCACUGCAGGGUGGCUGUGACUUUGGUCAGGUGUAGCUUAUGUUUGGCCAUCUCUUGGUUGAUCCAGUUUAUUUGUCUUAGUUUCAGUGAUGGCCAGAGGGUUACAAAGGAUUUGGAAUGGAGCAUGUCUCAGGGUGAUGUGAACUCUGUUGUUGCCUGGAUUUCCAGAUCAUGUGACAGAGAAUCAGCUGGAUCAUUUCAGCUGUCCAGGUUAUCAGUUAGAAUAAAGUUUUUAAAAACUAAAAUCUUGGGAGCAAGGAGGCCUCUCUGAUGUAAAGAAAGAUGAGUAGACUGGUUUAUCCCUUCUAUGCAGUUAGUACAUGAGAGUACCCUGGUCCUUUAAGAGCCAGAGUUCUUUGGGGUUUUUGUUUGUUUUCCCCCAUUAAAAAGCACUAGCAUUUAUUAGGGGAAAAUGAGGUUCUCCUCAACUCAUGUUUUCCCUCUCUGUAUUGUGGAAAAUCUGAACCUCACUCUGAAAGUGAAUACAUCCAUUUGAAAGGGAUGGCAGGUUACCAAGAGUGUCAUUUAAUGAAACCCCUCUUUUUCUUGACCAAAAGAGACCUUGUUUUCUUUGAGAAGCAGGAGUUCACUUUAAUUUUUAUGAACAUCUCACACCACUUCCACCUAACCCUACCUACUGUAAUAUGGGCUGGCCUGUCAAGUCUUGGGCAAGAAUAGUGAUAAGAUGCUAUCAGGUCAGAACCCAUAUUGUUAGAGUAGCUGAAAGAUUCAGGAGUUCUUAUUUUGAACUCUUGCAUGUAGAAUCAUUACAAGAUGUCUCUUAAAUGCAGUUAGAGUGAGAGGAAAGCUGGAGCUGUGGGUGGGGAACAUGUCAGAGGUGGGGCUCAGCAGGAAGUGGGACCAGUGCCUGCUGGAUGUGGUAGAUAAGUACCGGUUUUGGAUUAGGGAUUGUUUUCUCACUUACCUUCUUUAAAAAAAGAAUGUGGCCAUUAGCCUUUGGUUCUGGCAUGGCAUUAGGAAUGGCUUAUUCCAGCAGUCAGCAUGAUUUCCAGGUUCCAUGUCUUCUACAUGGAAAACAUGUCAAAGGACAGGAGCAGUGACCACCUGACAACAUCGCAGUGGGAGGAAAAGAGAAAUCAUGUUUAUUCCUCAGGAAUGCUGAAGUACCCUGGAGUAAGCUGUCAUUCUUAUUAUAACAAUGUUAUUAGUAAUGCUUUAAACUCCAGCACACUUGUUAUGUAUUUGAAACCAAGUCUGUUUCUUGUUUUGUAUUUUCUCUCUGGAAAUUGUAAGGCGGUGGUCUUAAAUACAUUAAACAAAAAUAGGAAAAAAAGCAGUUAAAAUUUGAUGGCAUAUCAGCCAGCUGACCCAAUUCUUGGCACAGUCAACAAGUAUCUUUGAUUUGUUUUCAGCAGGGCUAAGUCAUCAGAUAUGUCAGAAGGGGUAAAAAAAAAAAAA
Molecule: RNA transcript, 2287 nt
Organism: Homo sapiens (human)
Lineage: Eukaryota; Metazoa; Chordata; Mammalia; Primates; Hominidae
Gene: MICOS10P1
Gene name: MICOS10 pseudogene 1
Exons: 1
Source: RefSeq, marked validated